RNAcentral lists this long non-coding RNA (1635 nucleotides) under Glycine max (soybean). Its description in RNAcentral is "long non-coding RNA (GMAX_LNC002033)". Lineage: Eukaryota; Viridiplantae; Streptophyta; Magnoliopsida; Fabales; Fabaceae. The record is from RNAcentral.
GAUUCGGCUUGAUCUUCAUUCAACGAUAAACAUUAACUGGCUGUGUGGAUGCGUCAAAAUUCUGACAGGAGAGAAUUUGGGUACCUCUCAAGCCUUGGUAGCAGAAUAUCCUCCGUUCCUAAUCAAAGGGUGAGGCCCCAUUUGCAAAAUCUCCUUUUCCUUUGAAACAGCAAUUCCUUUCCACUCCUAAUCAACAAUUUACCAUAAAGGUCUAAGAACAUUGAUAAAUGAUUGAUUUUUUUAGAGGUUUGAUUUUCUAAUUGUACGUUUAGAGAAGAUUUUGUUGGAAGAAACAAAAUUUAUUUUAAUUAUUUUCACGUCUUGAGGAUUAGUCUCAGUUAUGGAGAUACAUUACUUCAAAAAUAAUAAUUUAAUUGAUUACAAAUGAUAGUAUUAUAUUUUUUUAAACUAAAAUUGAUUUAUAUUAAUUAAGAAAAUUAGUUAAUAUCAUUUAAUUUUAUUAAUUUCCUUUAAAAAGAAUCAUUUUUCCUAAACUAGCUUUUAUUAAAAUUUGAUAUCUAAAAUAAAAAAGAAUUUCAUUAGACUUUGGGCAUAACUCAACUAUGACAAGUCUUACUUCUGUUCCUUUUCAGUUGUAUGCAGAUACUUUUAUGACAUCUAUGUUAGAUAAGUAAGGAUGCUUGUGUUAGUCUUAUUGUUUUUGUUAUGCAUCUAUUAACUUUAGUACUUUACAUGUUAGCAUUAUUUUAUACCUACAUGGUUGAGAGUGGUACAACUCUGUAGCAUAAAUCAUCAGUGUAGCUGCCAGUUAUUAGUCUUCUUUCUUGUUGCUAAUCAAUCUUUCUCGAUGCUGAGAUUGAUGCAACAUAUACAAAGCCUUCCAACCAGAGCAAUCUUUUUAGCACUUAGCAGACCCCCCAUUAAAAAGGUGCGUGCUAGGAGGAAUAAGAGCAGGCACAAAGGGAAUUGUAUUGGGUUGGUUUCUGUUAUGCUCGAAUUGAGGUCUGUUGAACUUGUUAAUAGCUGUACUGUAUUAACAAGAGAUUUCAACCAAUAAGAGAGAGAGUUCAAUAGAGUAUGUCAGAGGGUGUGUUGUUAGCAUUUCCUGUAUUAACAAUUAGUUAGUUAGCUAGAGAUCCUAAACUGAAUCAUAAGAGAUCACUGGGAAAAAUGACAGGGUAUAAAUAGGAGUAGAGGUUUGUUUUUUAAAGAGUUAGAUUGGAUUUGUAGUAGUUUUUUUUUUUUAAUCAGCAAAAAUUUGGAGCGAAGAGGUUUGUUUUUAUAAUCAGCAAAAAAUUGGAGGUUGAAGGAUACUCAGGACUGUAGGAUUUCCUAGAGUUGUGAGACACACCUAUCUGCAGUUAUUGUUUUCCAUCUUCUGUUUUGAAUCUGCAAGCAUAUUAAUUCGGAUUCAGGGAGAAAAGUGAGAUUCAAGAAAAGUCUCAAUUCUUUUCUUUCUCUCAUUUGAUUCCUGUUAAAUUUCAUGGUUGUUUCUGGCUAGAUAUCCAAUUCUCAUUUUUUUUAAUUAGUUUCUUGAUCUUGAUGCUUAAUGCAUGUUUUUUAGUUGAACGUUGAUUUUUUGGCUCUCUCUCCCCACAAGAGGGUGCAAGUGUGCUUGCUAAAACUGUGCUGUCCAGGAUAAAAAUGGGAAGAUGCAUAGGGGCAGGAGAAAAG